RNAcentral lists this ribosomal RNA (454 nucleotides) under Aedes w-albus. RNAcentral describes it as "partial 16S ribosomal RNA". It matches the Rfam family "Bacterial large subunit ribosomal RNA", at positions 1854 to 2568 of the family's 2925-position model. Lineage: Eukaryota; Metazoa; Arthropoda; Insecta; Diptera; Culicidae. The record is from RNAcentral.
UAACCUGCCCACUGAUUUAUUAAAGGGCCGCAGUAUUUUGACUGUGCGAAGGUAGCAUAAUCAGUAGUCUUUUAAUUGAAGGCUGUAUGAAUGGUUGAAUGAGAUAUAUACUGUCUUUUUUAAAUUUUUAUAGAAUUUUAUUUUUUAAUUAAAAAGUUAAAAUGUAAUUAAAAGACGAGAAGACCCUAUAGAUCUUUAUUUUUGUUAGUUAUAAAUUAAAAAGAAUAAUUAAAUUUAUAAUUUAAUAAAAAAUUUUACUGGGGUGGUAUUAAAAUUUAAUAAACUUUUAUUAUUUAUUUACAUUAUAUAUGAAUAUUUGAUCCAGUUUUAUUGAUUAAAAAAUUAAGUUACCUUAGGGAUAACAGCGUAAUUUUUUUUUAGAGUUCUUAUCGACAAAAAAGAUUGCGACCUCGAUGUUGGAUUAAGAGUUAUUUUUAGGUCUAGAAGUUUAAAG